RNAcentral lists this unclassified non-coding RNA (224 nucleotides) under plant metagenome. RNAcentral describes it as "partial contains small subunit ribosomal RNA, internal transcribed spacer 1, and 5.8S ribosomal RNA". The record is from RNAcentral.
UCUCCGUUGGUGAACCAGCGGAGGGAUCAUUACAGGACUCGCAAGACUCCUUCACCCUGUGAACCUCACUACAAGCACGUUGCUUCGGCGGGUGUCCCGGCGGGGGUUUUCCCUCGCCGGGGCGCACAGCCCGCCGGCAGCCUGCUAUACUCUGUCUCUCUGCGUUGGCAUCUCGAGAAAAAACAAACAAGUUAAAACUUUCAACAACGGAUCUCUUGGUUCUG